Molecule: transfer RNA, 82 nt
Filed under: Cyclobacteriaceae bacterium
Lineage: Bacteria; Pseudomonadati; Bacteroidota; Cytophagia; Cytophagales; Cyclobacteriaceae
Description: tRNA-Tyr
Rfam family: tRNA
About the family: Transfer RNA (tRNA) molecules are approximately 80 nucleotides in length. Their secondary structure includes four short double-helical elements and three loops (D, anti-codon, and T loops).
Source: RNAcentral
GGGGAGAUACCAAAGCGGCCAACUGGGGCAGACUGUAAAUCUGUUGUCUACGACUUCGCAGGUUCGAAUCCUGCUCUCCCCA